GAUGAACGCUGGCGGUAUGCUUAACACAUGCAAGUCGAACGGACUCUUCGGAGUUAGUUGCGGACGUGUGAGUAACGCGUGAGAAUCUGGCUUUGGGUUCGGGACAACCACUGUAAACGGUGGCUAAUACCGGAUGUGCCGAUAGGUAAAAGAGAAAUUGCCUGAAGAUGAGCUCGCGUCUGAUUAGCUAGUUGGUGAGGUAAAGGCUCACAAAGGCAGCGAUCAGUAGCUGGUCUGAGAGGAUGACCAGCCACACUGGGACUGAGACACGGCCCAGACUCAUACGGGAGGCAGCAGUGGGGAAUUUUCCGCAAUGGGCGAAAGCCUGACGGAGCAAUACCGCGUGAGAGAAGAAGGCUCUUGGGUUGUAAACCUCUUUUCUUAGGGAAGAACAAAAUGACGGUACCUAAGGAAUCAGCAUCGGCUAACUCCGUG
Molecule: ribosomal RNA, 435 nt
Filed under: uncultured bacterium
Lineage: Bacteria
Description: partial 16S ribosomal RNA
Rfam family: Bacterial small subunit ribosomal RNA
Source: RNAcentral